AUUGAACGCUGGCGGCAGGCCUAACACAUGCAAGUCGAGCGGAUGAAGGGAGCUUGCUCCUGGAUUCAACGGCGGACGGGUGAGUAAUGCCUAGGAAUCUGCCUGGUAGUGGGGGAUAACGUCCGGAAACGGGCGCUAAUACCGCAUACGUCCUGAGGGAGAAAGUGGGGGAUCUUCGGACCUCACGCUAUCAGAUGAGCCUAGGUCGGAUUAGCUAGUUGGUGGGGUAAAGGCCUACCAAGGCGACGAUCCGUAACUGGUCUGAGAGGAUGAUCAGUCACACUGGAACUGAGACACGGUCCAGACUCCUACGGGAGGCAGCAGUGGGGAAUAUUGGACAAUGGGCGAAAGCCUGAUCCAGCCAUGCCGCGUGUGUGAAGAAGGUCUUCGGAUUGUAAAGCACUUUAAGUUGGGAGGAAGGGCAGUAAGUUAAUACCUUGCUGUUUUGACGUUACCAACAGAAUAAGCACCGGCUAACCUCGUG
RNAcentral lists this ribosomal RNA (484 nucleotides) under uncultured bacterium. RNAcentral describes it as "partial 16S ribosomal RNA". It matches the Rfam family "Bacterial small subunit ribosomal RNA", at positions 30 to 507 of the family's 1533-position model. The record is from RNAcentral.